GAUGAAGAACGCAGCGAAAUGCGAUAACUAAUGUGAAUUGCAGAAUUCAGUGAAUCAUCGAGUCUUUGAACGCACAUUGCGCCCCCUGGUAUUCCGGGGGGCAUGCCUGUCCGAGCGUCAUUGCUGCCCUCAAGCACGGCUUGUGUGUUGGGCUCCGUCCCCCCGGGGACGGGCCCGAAAGGCAGCGGCGGCACCGAGUCCGGUCCUCGAGCGUAUGGGGCUUUAUCACCCGCUCUUGAGGCCCGGCCGGCGCUUGCCGACCCUUUAUUCUUCUAAGGUUGACCUCGGAUCAGGUAGGGAUACCCGCUGAACUUAAGCAUAUCAAUAAGCGGAGGA
RNAcentral lists this unclassified non-coding RNA (336 nucleotides) under soil metagenome. Its description in RNAcentral is "partial contains 5.8S ribosomal RNA, internal transcribed spacer 2, and large subunit ribosomal RNA". The stretch from base 1 to 120 matches the Rfam family "5.8S ribosomal RNA", at positions 35 to 154 of the family's 154-position model. The record is from RNAcentral.